GAGAACUCUGGCCAAGGAACUCGGCAAAAUAACCCCGUACCUUCGGAAGAAGGGGUGCUUUUUAGGGUGAAGCGAUUCACUCUGUCGAGCCCUGAAAAGCCGCAGAGAAAUGGUGGUGGCGACUGUUUACUAAAAACAUAGGUCUGUGCCAAGUCGUAUAGACGACGUAUACGGACUGACGCCUGCCCGGUGCUGGAAGGUUAAAAGGAGGAGUCAGCGCAAGCGAAGCUCCGAAUUGAAGCCCCAGUAAACGGCGGCCGUAACUAUAACGGUCCUAAGGUAGCGAAAUUCCUUGUCGGGUAAGUUCCGACCUGCACGAAUGGCGUAACGAUCUCCACACUGUCUCGGCCAGAGACUCGGUGAAAUUGAAGUCGCGGUGAAAAUGCCGUGUACCCGCAGAAAGACGGAAAGACCCUGUGCACCUUUACUAUAGCUUGACAUUGGGAUUUGAGCCUGCAUGUGUAGCAUAGGUGGGAGGCUGUGAACUCUGUACGCCAGUAUGGAGGGAGCCAUCGUUGAAAUACCACCCUUGUUUGUUCAGGUCCCUAACUCCUUGCCGUGAUCCGGUAGGAGGACAGUGUCUGGUGGGUAGUUUGACUGGGGCGGUCGCCUCCCAAAAUGUAACGGAGGCAUGCAAAGGUUCCCUCAGGCUGAUUGGAAACCAGCCGUCGAGUGCAAACGCAAAAGGGAGCUUGACUGCAAGAGAGACAUCUCGAGCAGGUACGAAAGUAGGUGUUAGUGAUCCGGUGAUCCCGAAUGGAAGGGUCAUCGCUCAUUGGAUAAAAGGUACGCCGGGGAUAACAGGCUGAUCGCAUCCAAGAGUUCACAUCGACGAUGCGUUUGGCACCUCGAUGUCGGCUCAUCGCAUCCUGGAGCUGAACCAGGUCCCAAGGGUACGGCUGUUCGCCGUUUAAAGUGGUACGCGAGCUGGGUUUAAAACGUCGUGAGACAGUUUGGUCCCUAUCUUCUGUGGGCGUAGGAGAAUUGAAAGGGCCUGUCCCUAGUACGAGAGGACCGGGAUGGACACACCACUGGUGGACCUGUUGUCGUGCCAACGGCACAGCAGGGUAGCUAUGUGUGGGAGGGAUAACCGCUGAAAGCAUCUAAGCGGGAAGCCUGCCUUAAGAUAAGUUCUCCCUGACGCAAGUCCUGAAGGGCCGAGGUAGACGACCUCGUUGAUAGGCUGGAGGUG
This 1192-nucleotide ribosomal RNA is filed under the name human gut metagenome. RNAcentral describes it as "bacterial LSU rRNA". It matches the Rfam family "Bacterial large subunit ribosomal RNA", at positions 1694 to 2869 of the family's 2925-position model. The record is from RNAcentral.